GCUCCCACUGAGCAACGGAGGCAGCGGGAGGACGGAGUUUGUGUGUUCUCCCGAAGAAGACAAGAGAUCCAACGCCGGGGAGAAUGAUGGGGACUUGCUACCGCUGAAGGAGCCCUGCAGAUUGGAGAGAAAAGAGGAGAGCUCCCUCAACUUCUGGGGCCAUCUGCUCACAUGGCCCGCCAUUCGUCUGUUGCUCAGCCAAGACAUCAGCCCCUCAUGUGGAGGGCUCCAUGCCAGCUUCUGUGAAGACUGGUGAAUACUAGCGGCCGCUUGUCCCAGAGCACGUGCAAUGUAACAAACUUGUAAAUAAAAUAAGCACAUUGUAAUACAGCAUGUUCGGUGUCAUAACAGAAACACAAGUAAAGAGAUCAGGAAAUCAGCGCCUCUGCAGGGAAUCUGACAGUCAUGGAGAGGUGCCAUCUGAACUGGGCUUUGAGGAAUGAGUAGGAGUUUUCCAGGGGAAGGGACAAGGGGGACAAAUGGUGGGCAGAAGCUCCAGAUGAAAGCAGGUGUGCCUGGGGUUAGCGAUGCCCCCUGCGGAGGGAGCAUAGGUUAUGGAAGAUGGGCUCACAGAACCUGGAGCUAAGGAAGUUGGCUGAGGCCAAAUCUUGAAGGCCCUUGCACACCAAGGUGGGGAUUUCAUCCUGGAGGUGGGAGCAGGAGUAGCUUUGAUUUGGGAGAGAAAAGCUCUAGAGAUAGUGUAAAAGGUAGCUUGGAGUUUAAAAAAUUUUUAAGUUCCAUUUUAAGAAAAUAAGAUAAAAUAAUAUUUCAUGAACUUCUUUCCAUCUUAA
This is a long non-coding RNA of Sapajus apella (tufted capuchin), 791 nucleotides long. RefSeq lists it as uncharacterized. The record is from RefSeq and is a predicted model, not a curated record. The transcript is spliced from 2 exons. Lineage: Eukaryota; Metazoa; Chordata; Mammalia; Primates; Cebidae.